GACGAACGCUGGCGGCGUGCUUAACACAUGCAAGUCGAACGGAAAGGCCCUGCUUUUGUGGGGUGCUCGAGUGGCGAACGGGUGAGUAACACGCGAGUAACCUGCCCUUGACAUUGUGAUAACUUCAGGAAACUGGGGCUAAUACCGGAUAUGAGCUCCUGCUGCAUGGUGGGCGUUGGAAAGUUUCGGCGGUUGGGGAUGGACUCGAGGCUUAUCAGCUUGUUGGUGGGGUAGUGGCUUACCAAGGCUUUGACGGGUAGCCGGCCUGGGAGGGUGACCAGCCACAUUGGGACUAAGAUACGGACCAGUCGCGUACGGGAGGCAGCAGUGGGGAAUAUUGCACAAUGGGCGGAAGCCUGAUGCAGCGACGCUGCGUGCGUGAUGACGGCCUUCGGGUUGUAAACCGCUUUCGCAUGUGCCGAAGAGUGAGUGACGGUAAUGGGUAAAGAAGCAACGGCUAACUACGUG
This 468-nucleotide ribosomal RNA is filed under the name uncultured bacterium. Its description in RNAcentral is "partial 16S ribosomal RNA". It matches the Rfam family "Bacterial small subunit ribosomal RNA", at positions 28 to 507 of the family's 1533-position model. The record is from RNAcentral.